This 257-nucleotide ribosomal RNA is filed under the name uncultured Glomus. Its description in RNAcentral is "partial 18S ribosomal RNA". It matches the Rfam family "Eukaryotic small subunit ribosomal RNA", at positions 624 to 886 of the family's 1831-position model. The record is from RNAcentral. Lineage: Eukaryota; Fungi; Glomeromycota; Glomeromycetes; Glomerales; Glomeraceae.
AAGCUCGUAGUUGAAUUUCGGGAUUAGUACGUCGGUCGUGCCUUAGGUACGUACUGGUGUUACUGGUUCCUACCUUCUGACGAACCAUCAUGUCAUUAAUUUGGUGUGGUGGGGAAUCAGGACAGUUACUUUGAAAAAAUUAGAGUGUUUAAAGCAGGCUCGCGCUUGAAUACAUUAGCAUGGAAUAAUGAAAUAGGACGUUGAUCCUAUUUUGUUGGUUUCUAGGGUUGACGUAAUGAUUAAUAGGGAUAGUUGGG